This 513-nucleotide ribosomal RNA is filed under the name uncultured bacterium. Its description in RNAcentral is "partial 16S ribosomal RNA". It matches the Rfam family "Bacterial small subunit ribosomal RNA", at positions 29 to 523 of the family's 1533-position model. The record is from RNAcentral.
AACGAACGCUGGCGGCGUGCCUAACACAUGCAAGUCGAGCGCGAAAAGGGCAACCUGAGUAGAGCGGCGCACGGGUGCGUAACACGUGGGUAAUCUGCCUUAGAGUCGAGGAUAACCUUCCGAAAGGUUGGCUAAUACUCGGUAAGCUUACGGUGUCUUCGGACGCUGUGGGAAAAGUAGGCCUCUGUUUACAAGCUUACGCUCUGAGAUGAGCCCGCGGCCCAUCAGCUAGUUGGCGGUGUAACGGACCACCAAGGCAACGACGGGUAGCUGGUCUGAGAGGACGAUCAGCCACACUGGAACUGAGACACGGUCCAGACUCCUACGGGAGGCAGCAGUGGGGAAUUUUCCACAAUGGGCGAAAGCCUGAUGGAGCAACGCCGCGUGUGUGAUGAAGGUUUUCGGAUCGUAAAGCACUUUCGACUGGGACGAAAAACCUUUGGCUAACAUCCAGGGGCCUGACGGUACCAGGAGAAGAAGCACCGGCUAACUCUGUGCCAGCAGCCGCCGUAA